GGAAUAUUGGUCAAUGGUCGGGAGACUGAACCAGCCAAGUCGCGUGCGGGAUGAAGGCCCUCCGGGUCGUAAACCGCUUUAGCCGGGGAGUAACGUGGGGGACGUGUCCCCCAGUGAGAGUACCCGGAGAAUAAGCAUCGGCUAACUCCGUGCCAGCAGCCGCGGUAAUACGGAGGAUGCGAGCGUUAUCCGGAUUUAUUGGGUUUAAAGGGUGCGCAGGCGGCAUGUCAAGUCAGCGGUCAAACUGCGGCGCUCAACGCCGUACCGCCGUUGAAACUGGCAGGCUUGAGUCCGUGCGAGGAUGGCGGAAUGCGCGGUGUAGCGGUGAAAUGCAUAGAUAUCGCGCAGAACUCCGAUUGCGAAGGCAGCUGUCCAGCACACGACUGACGCUCAUGCACGAAAGCGUGGGUAUCGAACA
Molecule: ribosomal RNA, 418 nt
Filed under: uncultured bacterium
Lineage: Bacteria
Description: bacterial SSU rRNA
Rfam family: Bacterial small subunit ribosomal RNA
Source: RNAcentral